Pelodiscus sinensis (Chinese soft-shelled turtle) is the source of this 430-nucleotide non-coding RNA. NCBI's taxonomy places the organism in Eukaryota, Metazoa, Chordata, Testudines, Trionychidae. The record is from RefSeq and is a predicted model, not a curated record.
CUAAGAUACACCCUGGCAAUGAGCAAUUAACUCUCUGCUAUUCUUCUCUGACUUUGGUCUCCCUUCUUUAUAACUGUGUUUGGGCUUUCUUAUUGAUCACAGCUCCAGGUGAAGGUCUCUACAAUUGGCAGUUCUGGCAGCUAGGUGGGAUGUGUGAUCAGCCUAAUUGCUUGGAAGCAAGGAAGGCAGAUAGAAUCGACUGGUGCUGUAGAAGAAUGUAAACAAUAAUAGAAGCUCAUUAGAAUGAAACUAUCUUUCUUCACAAUGGGAGCUUUCAAUAUGCAUUUAAUUGGCAGAAUGACAGAAGCAAUGAACAGAAGCAAUGGAGUAUGUGAAAACUGAAAAUAUGGAAUUUCAAGGGGCAUGACAGUCAACCUGUGAAGAACUGAUCUCUUACACUGAUGAUCUCAUUAAGUCCAUUGAGUUACAG